CUAUCUAUCUAUCUUGGUUAAGUUAGAGUGUAGUUGGUUCUCCCGUUUCCCUGUGGAUACGAUAAAACCUUUAACCGGGUAAAAGCUACAAUGGUAUCCGUGCGCUUGCGGAUUUAUCUAUGUGCGUAUAAAUACCAUAGUACACUCUAGUGCCAUGCCGGGGAUGACAACCUAGUAUUCAAGUGGUGUUAGCAACUGUCAACAAGCAUUUUUGGCGCCGUUGCCGGGGAGACGGUUGCGGAGUUGACUACGAACUAGCUUAAUCAUUUUCUAAAAAAUAAAAAAAAUUCUUUUAUCUUUUGCCUUAUCUCUGCUAUUCUUUCUUCUUAUCUAAUCCUUGAUCUCUGGUCUAUCAUGAAUUCAAACAUGUCUAUCUAUGAAUUUCAUAGACCUACGGGCACACAUCUCGAACCACCAAAAUCUUCAAAGCCUAUCAUAGCUUCUAGUUUUGAGAUAGACCCCGAAUACAUAGAAUUUGUUCAAAAACAACCUUUCUCAGGAGA
This 503-nucleotide long non-coding RNA is filed under the name Sorghum bicolor (sorghum). RNAcentral's name for it is "long non-coding RNA (SBIC_LNC010788)". Lineage: Eukaryota; Viridiplantae; Streptophyta; Magnoliopsida; Poales; Poaceae. The record is from RNAcentral.